Molecule: long non-coding RNA, 351 nt
Organism: Alosa alosa (allis shad)
Lineage: Eukaryota; Metazoa; Chordata; Actinopteri; Clupeiformes; Clupeidae
Exons: 3
Source: RefSeq, a predicted model, not a curated record
GGCAUUAUUUAGAAUGCAUUUACUUUUAAAGGAACUAGGCUACAGUAAAGUCUUGGAUACGGUGCUACUUUGUAGCUUAGGAAUAGUAACUCUUAUGGAGAACAAGGCUACUUGUAUAGCUCUCACGGUGCUACAUUGUAGCUUAAGGACACGACUCUUACGGAGAACAAGGCUUAUCAUAUAGCUCUUACGGUGCUACUUUGUAGCUUAAAGAAGUGGAUUCUUAAGGAUAAAUCUUAGCACUCAGCUGGAACGGGAACAAGCUCUUACGGUGGUCUCAGGACUUUCACAAAGAAAUAAAGAAACCAUCAGUACGCUACAACUGUCCGGCUGGGGUUUGCUACAAAUGUA